This 617-nucleotide ribosomal RNA is filed under the name uncultured bacterium. RNAcentral's name for it is "bacterial SSU rRNA". It matches the Rfam family "Bacterial small subunit ribosomal RNA", at positions 26 to 655 of the family's 1533-position model. The record is from RNAcentral.
AGGAUGAACGCUGGCGGCGUGCCUAAUACAUGCAAGUCGAGCGAACCACUUCGGUGGUGAGCGGCGAACGGGUGAGUAACACGUAGGUGAUCUGCCCAUCAGACGGGGACAACGAUUGGAAACGAUCGCUAAUACCGGAUAGGACGAAAGUUUAAAGGUGCUUCUGGCACCGCUGAUGGAUGAGCCUGCGGCGCAUUAGCUAGUUGGUAGGGUAAAGGCCUACCAAGGCGACGAUGCGUAGCCGACCUGAGAGGGUGAACGGCCACACUGGGACUGAGACACGGCCCAGACUCCUACGGGAGGCAGCAGUAGGGAAUCUUCGGCAAUGGGCGAAAGCCCGACCGAGCAACGCCGCGUGAAUGAUGAAGGCCUUCGGGUUGUAAAAUUCUGUUAUAAGGGAAGAACGACUUUAGUAGGAAAUGGCUAGAGUGUGACGGUACCUUAUGAGAAAGCCACGGCUAACUACGUGCCAGCAGCCGCGGUAAUACGUAGGUGGCGAGCGUUAUCCGGAAUUAUUGGGCGUAAAGAGCGCGCAGGUGGUUGAUUAAGUCUGAUGUGAAAGCCCACGGCUUAACCGUGGAGGGUCAUUGGAAACUGGUCGACUUGAGUGCAGAAGA